GACCCUGCCUUCGGGCGGGGGCUCCGGGUGGACACUUCAAACUCUUGCGUAACUUUGCAGUCUGAGUAAACUUAAUUAAUAAAUUAAAACUUUUAACAACGGAUCUCUUGGUUCUGGCAUCGAUGAAGAACGCAGCGAAAUGCGAUAAGUAAUGUGAAUUGCAGAAUUCAGUGAAUCAUCGAAUCUUUGAACGCACAUUGCGCCCCCUGGUAUUCCGGGGGGCAUGCCUGUUCGAGCGUCAUUUCACCACUCAAGCCUCGCUUGGUAUUGGGCAACGCGGUCCGCCGCGUGCCUCAAAUCGACCGGCUGGGUCUUCUGUCCCCUAAGCGUUGUGGAAACUAUUCGCUAAAGGGUGUUCGGGAGGCUACGCCGUAAAACAACCCC
RNAcentral lists this ribosomal RNA (384 nucleotides) under Cladosporium sp. FBCC2320. Its description in RNAcentral is "eukaryotic LSU rRNA". The stretch from base 88 to 241 matches the Rfam family "5.8S ribosomal RNA". Lineage: Eukaryota; Fungi; Ascomycota; Dothideomycetes; Cladosporiales; Cladosporiaceae. The record is from RNAcentral.